This 73-nucleotide transfer RNA is filed under the name Saccharomyces cerevisiae Kyokai no. 7. RNAcentral's name for it is "tRNA-Trp". It matches the Rfam family "tRNA". From Rfam's summary of the family: Transfer RNA (tRNA) molecules are approximately 80 nucleotides in length. Their secondary structure includes four short double-helical elements and three loops (D, anti-codon, and T loops). Further hydrogen bonds mediate the characteristic L-shaped molecular structure. tRNAs have two regions of fundamental functional importance: the anti-codon, which is responsible for specific mRNA codon recognition, and the 3' end, to which the tRNAs corresponding amino acid is attached (by aminoacyl-tRNA synthetases). tRNAs cope with the degeneracy of the genetic code in two manners: having more than one tRNA (with a specific anti-codon) for a particular amino acid; and 'wobble' base-pairing, i.e. permitting non-standard base-pairing at the 3rd anti-codon position. The record is from RNAcentral. Lineage: Eukaryota; Fungi; Ascomycota; Saccharomycetes; Saccharomycetales; Saccharomycetaceae.
GAAGCGGUGGCUCAAUGGUAGAGCUUUCGACUCCAAAAUCGAAGGGUUGCAGGUUCAAUUCCUGUCCGUUUCA